UACGGAGGAUGCGAGCGUUAUCCGGAUUUAUUGGGUUUAAAGGGUGCGUAGGCGGUCCGUUAAGUCAGCGGUAAAAUUGCGGGGCUCAACCCCGUCGAGCCGUUGAAACUGGCAGACUUGAGUUGGCGAGAAGUACGCGGAAUGCGCGGUGUAGCGGUGAAAUGCAUAGAUAUCGCGCAGAACUCCGAUUGCGAAGGCAGCGUACCGGCGCCACACUGACGCUGAGGCACGAAAGCGUGAGGAUCGAACAGG
This 252-nucleotide ribosomal RNA is filed under the name uncultured bacterium. RNAcentral's name for it is "partial 16S ribosomal RNA". It matches the Rfam family "Bacterial small subunit ribosomal RNA", at positions 524 to 776 of the family's 1533-position model. The record is from RNAcentral.